Molecule: non-coding RNA, 97 nt
Organism: Zopfochytrium polystomum
Lineage: Eukaryota; Fungi; Chytridiomycota; Chytridiomycetes; Chytridiales; Chytridiaceae
Source: the annotation of a GenBank genome assembly
GCCUGGUUAGCUCAGUUUGGUAGAGCGUGAGACUUUUAGGGCUUCGUGACCUAUGAAAGGCAUCUUAAGGUCGUGGGUUCGACCCCCACAUCGGGCG